UUAUAUCAGUGAGUCGAUUAAUUGCUAUUGUAUUCAUGAUUUAUCGAUAGCUACAUUUAUUAUGGUAGUCAUGACUUAAUAAGUGCACGUUAUAAUUACGCAUCGAUAGGACUUGUAAGUGAUGACUGCAUACUUUAAACACGUGAUAAUUUUCGUUGCUUUUCAUUAUUAAAUACAAUUCAGAUAUAAACCUUUUUACUGGCUGAACUAGUGACCUGUCAAAACGGCUUCAAGCGUAGGCCUAUCCUUUUUCUGCUCAGAAAACUGCUGGCUGCUGCAGCACAACGCAUCUUUGGAUGUUCUGGGUGUAUGGCAAGGACGGCCCCGGUUUGAAAUAUUCAUACCCAGAUCGAUAUGAGCUUGCCCGAGGAGAGCACUAAUCAAAAGCGAAGGAAGAUGCUGCGACGUCAUUUACGUGACGAUUUACAUUUUGUCCCCUUCAAUCGUGACUCAAAUAGAAAAAAUAGGCAGUUAACCUUCUCGGUAAGU
Long non-coding RNA from Pieris napi, 489 nucleotides. RefSeq lists it as uncharacterized. NCBI's taxonomy places the organism in Eukaryota, Metazoa, Arthropoda, Insecta, Lepidoptera, Pieridae. The transcript has 3 exons. The record is from RefSeq and is a predicted model, not a curated record.